Molecule: ribosomal RNA, 798 nt
Filed under: uncultured Glomus
Lineage: Eukaryota; Fungi; Glomeromycota; Glomeromycetes; Glomerales; Glomeraceae
Also listed under: 1 other name
Description: SSU rRNA
Rfam family: Eukaryotic small subunit ribosomal RNA
Source: RNAcentral
AUCAACUUUCGAUGGUAGGAUAGAGGCCUACCAUGGUGGUAACGGGUAACGGGGUGUUAGGGCACGACACCGGAGAGGGAGCCUGAGAAACGGCUACCACAUCCAAGGAUGGCAGCAGGCGCGCAAAUUACCCAAUCCCGACACGGGGAGGUAGUGACAAUAAAUAACAAUACGGGGUUCUUUCGGAUUUCGUAAUUGGAAUGAGUACAAUUUAAAUCUCUUAACGAGGAACAAUUGGAGGGCAAGUCUGGUGCCAGCAGCCGCGGUAAUUCCAGCUCCAAUAGCGUAUAUUAAAGUUGCUGCAGUUAAAAAGCUCGUAGUUGAAUUUCGGGACCAUCAUGUCGGUCGUGCCUCGGUACGUACUGGUAUUGUUGGUUUCUCCCUUCUGACGAACCAUGAUGUCAUUUAUUUGGUGUUGUGGGGAAUCAGGACUGUUACUUUGAAAAAAUUAGAGUGUUUAAAGCAGGCUCACGCUUGAAUACAUUAGCAUGGAAUAAUGAAAUAGGACGUUUGAUUCUAUUUUGUUGGUUUCUAGGAUCGACGUAAUGAUUAAUAGGGAUAGUUGGGGGCAUUAGUAUUCAAUUGUCAGAGGUGAAAUUCUUGGAUUUAUUGAAGACUAACUACUGCGAAAGCAUUUGCCAAGGAUGUUUUCAUUAAUCAAGAACGAAAGUUAGGGGAUCGAAGACGAUCAGAUACCGUCGUAGUCUUAACCAUAAACUAUGCCGACUAGGGAUCGGAUGAUGUUAAUUUUUUAAUGACUCAUUCGGCGCCUUACGGGAAACCAAAGUGUUUGGGUUC